This 257-nucleotide unclassified non-coding RNA is filed under the name Hevea brasiliensis (rubber tree). The record is from RNAcentral. Lineage: Eukaryota; Viridiplantae; Streptophyta; Magnoliopsida; Malpighiales; Euphorbiaceae.
AAGCAUUUAAUGAAGUUUUGCAACAGUCUCCAUGGUGGGCUGAACAAGCUUGCGGAAUUAUUAGAAGUUGAGAGGAUUGGAGUUUGUCAUCAAGCAGGAUCAGAUAGUCUGCUUACUGCCUGUACUUUUAGGAAGUUAAGGAAUACUUUUUUCAAUGGAUCUAUACAGAAAUACGCAGGUGUUUUGUAUGGUCUCGGUGUUGACAAUGGACAGCGUACUAAUUGAAGAGAAUUACAAAGUAUUUGUAGAAGUGUGAG